UCCGGUUUGUCACCGGCAGUCUCAUUAGAGUGCCCUUGCGUAGCAACUAAUGAUAAGGGUUGCGCUCGUUGCGGGACUUAACCCAACAUCUCACGACGCGAGCUGACGACAGCCAUGCAGCACCUGUGCAGGAACUCCGAAGAGGGCCUCUGGUUUCUCAAAGGUUUCUCCUGCAUGUCAAGCCUAGGUAAGGUUCUUCGCGUUGCGUCGAAUUAAACCACAUGCUCCACCGCUUGUGCGGGCCCCCGUCAAUUCCUUUGAGUUUUAAUCUUGCGACCGUACUCCCAGGCGGAGUACUUAUCGCGUUAGCUGCGCUACCGGAGGGGUCGAUACCCCCGACAGCUAGUACUCAUCGUUUACGGCGUGGACUAC
RNAcentral lists this unclassified non-coding RNA (372 nucleotides) under uncultured bacterium. RNAcentral describes it as "contains 16S-23S intergenic spacer region". The record is from RNAcentral.